RNAcentral lists this ribosomal RNA (253 nucleotides) under uncultured bacterium. Its description in RNAcentral is "partial 16S ribosomal RNA". It matches the Rfam family "Bacterial small subunit ribosomal RNA", at positions 524 to 776 of the family's 1533-position model. The record is from RNAcentral.
UACGUAGGGUGCGAGCGUUAAUCGGAAUUACUGGGCGUAAAGCGUGCGCAGGCGGUUUUGUAAGCCAGUCGUGAAAUCCCCGGGCUUAACCUGGGAAUGGCGAUUGGGACUGCAAGGCUGGAGUAUGGCAGAGGAGACUGGAAUUCCUGGUGUAGCAGUGAAAUGCGUAGAUAUCAGGAGGAAUACCGAUGGCGAAGGCAGGUCUCUGGGCUGAUACUGACGCUCAUGCACGAAAGCGUGGGGAGCAAACAGG